Long non-coding RNA from Triticum aestivum (bread wheat), 2777 nucleotides. RefSeq lists it as uncharacterized. Lineage: Eukaryota; Viridiplantae; Streptophyta; Magnoliopsida; Poales; Poaceae. The transcript has 3 exons. The record is from RefSeq and is a predicted model, not a curated record.
CCCUCAUCCUCACUUCCUCCCCCGCAGCCUCUCCUGAUUCCCGAUUGCCCCACACAGCGCCGCCGCCAACCACCUCCUCGCUCCCCUCCUCCAACAGCUCGCCGAUGGCCCUAUCCUCCUCACCUCGGGCAGCUUCCAGAUGCGCAGCAUUCUCCACCCAUCCAUCCAUCUCACAAACAAUCUCUCUCUCGUGUGAACCCUCGCAACGCAGCCAACGCCUGCCAAUUCCGGCGACGUCCACCAUGGCGCAGCACACACAGAAGCUAGUCUCCGACCACUCUGUCCUCCAGGCCGGCAGGAUCCGCAGCUCCCUGUCUCUGGCGCUCGCCCCGCGACCCCUAGCCCGUGACUAGGGUUUCGACUAUGGCUUCGCUUCCAUCGUCGGCGUGUCUCUGGUGGCUCCGCUCCGUCGCACACUGCGCCCCCUCGCGCCCUCUCGGCCUCCUGGAUGGCCCCCCCUAGCUCAGUGCGCUUACUCGCGUUGGGCUGCACGGCGGCGACCCCAACCUCCUCUGUCGCAUCUCCGGCGCGGCUGUGUAGCCCGUGGCAACUUCCUCUGCCGCAUUUGAACCACUGGAAGCCCUCCCUUGCCCAGGAAGUGGAUGUACGAUGGUGAUGUCGAUUGUUGGCUGCCGGUGUCAACCAGCAAAUAUGUCGAGACAAGUACCAGUUCAUGGAAGUGUCCAAGUCGAGCUAGCUCAACAAGUCGUGAAUCUGAACAUCCUUUUGCAUUAGCAACUCUCUGAAUGAUGUUGUUGGCCUGAAAAUGAAGGCCAAUUAAGCUAAAACCUUAAAUAAUGCAUGCUCACUAGCAAGGGAAUAAUGGUAUGCACUGAUCAAUUGAUACUUUAUUCCAAUAUUUUUGAGUUUUGCUUGAUACAUACAUUUGUUGACCAAGAUAUCAUAUAGCCACGAUUAAUCCUAUUGUAGCAGUAGUACAUUGGUUAGAAUAGUUAAUUCAUAGAAGAAAAUGUGGUGUACAUUCAUUUGAUAUUAAGUUAUAUCAGCUUCCCAAAAUUGUUACAAUCAUCUUCCGUGUAGAGUAUAUAAUAUAUUUUUAGACCUGUGGUCAGGUUUAUAACAUGGUUGACCGUACAAAAUUGUUGUGACUUAUCAUCAAUAUUUCUACAUACAUUUUUCUUUUUUUUGUUCCAACGUGCAUACAAUUGUAACUUGGUAAAAUGACACCCCUAAUAAUAAUUUAAUUCAGACAUAUAUUCUAGUCUUUUGCAUCUAUUCAAGCUGAACCUGACUACAAGCAUGGAAGUCCUCUAUCUUUAACUAGGACCUGACUACAAGCAUAGAAGAUGAGCAGCACUUCCUUACAUGCAACAACUAAUAAGAAUUUGAUUCACACAUAUAUUCUAGUCUUUGGCAUCUAUUCAAGCUGAACCUGACUACAAGCAUGGAAGUCCUCUUUCUGUAACUAGGAUGUUAUUUGCUUUGCUGGGUAUGAGUGAAAAAUACAUGGAAACUAUAUUGACUGGUUUGUAUUUCACAUGAUUCUGACCUACUUGCAUUAGUAUUAGUAUAAGCAUGGAUGAAAGGUAUUUUAGGUCCCUACUAGACUAGAAAAAAUUGUAAGCCAUCUACAAAUAUCUAAUGUUUGUUAUAAUUUUGGACAGAUCAUGUUAUAUUCCCAGUUGGUGCUUCCUAUCACAUCUUAUUUAGGCUAAACGUUUUUCAACAUAUCAAGUCAUAUGCUCAGAUAUAUGGAUAUAGUAUAGUCGAGUUAUCCUUAGUAUUGAACUGUUGAUCAGUUAUGUAUAAUUUCAGCACCUGCCAAAGCAUUUUAGUCAUCUAAUAAACAGAACUAUGUGCAGUUGGAAUCAGGUGAAAAAGAAUUGGUGAAAGUAACAAACUGGAACUGUUUUCAAAGUGACAAGUUCAGAUAUUUGUGGCACCUAUUUACUCUUUUGACUAGUCGUACGUUGUAACAACACCAUAAACAAUGGAGAGCCAUGACCAGUCUGUACUGUAUAGUUUCUUGUGCUUAUUCUUCUUGCUCAGUUGUUCUGUACACAUGCUGGACUUGUUCAAACCGUAUCCCUGGGAAUCCAGGCCCGUGCAUUUGUUUAAAACCGUUAAAAUGAACUGUCCAUUAUGUUACGAGAACACCAUGAUGUUAUGUAUGGACCUCUUCUGCAGCAGUAGCCCUAUCUGUUGAUUUGUAUCAGGUCUAAAAGGUUAUCUCCCCUUCAUGUGUUGUGAAGGAAGCUGUGUGCUAGAUUUUUGUAUUUAUUUUGAACAUUGAAUGACUGUAGGAGAAUUUCCUACAGUCUUUUAUAUUAGUAUAAGUCAUAAAAUAAUCACUAGAUUUUUGUCUUCACCUACUUUACAUGAAUGUGUUUGUUUGUGUUAUAUAAAUUUGUUUCUUGACUGUCCACAUUUGUGGAUAUUUUUGCAGCUAGUAGAAUAUCUUCAAGUUGCAGUAAAGGCAGCAAACUUUAUAAAGGAAAAACUCUAUGAUGCAAGCUCAAAAAGGUUGCAUCAUAGUUAUUGAAAUGGCCCAGCAAAUGCACCAGGAUUUUUUUGAUGAUUAUGCCUUUUUAAUCAAUGGCUUGUUGGAUCUCUAUCAAUUUGGUGGUUUCCUUGGUCAGAACCCCAAGGGAGUUUGAGCUACAGAGGUGAUGUUGAUGAUUAAGAGGGUCUGCAUGAUGUUGUAUAUUUCUUAUGUAAUGUCAUGUAAUUUUUAUCAAGGGCGUGUGAGCCAAUGUUGGAUGUAAAUGACCUUUACUUGUUGAAAUUAUUGAAUGAAAAUUUAUGAAAUCUGUCAA